CGAAAACGUACGGCCGUACGUUCCCGAAUUGAGUAACACGAUUGGUUGAAAUCCUACUGUUACUGUUACGAAAAAGUGUGUGUGACCAGCUUAAAGAAGCUUGACCAAUUACAGGCUUUACGCUCGUUUUCAUUACUGAAGAACGCGGAGAUCUCGGGAAGUUAUAAAGGUGUCCGGACGUGUUUUGACCGAUUUAUAUGGUUAUUAAUAUUGUGAUAUUUGUUAGUUUUUUAAAUAAAUAAAUAUGAAUGUGACUGAAAAGCAGAAGCAAAUUCUAAUAAAUUUUAUGUGUAACCAUCCGGAUUUCGGAAGAGGGAGGUUAAGGUACAAUCGUGAAAAUAAAAGGAAAUUAGACUAGUUAUGGGAAGAAAUAACGACAAAAUUAAAUUGUACAGGUUCUGGUCCGCGAAAGUCAUCGAAAGAAUGAGCAAAAACGAGGCGUGACUGGAAGUCUAAUUUGUUGAAAAGAGUGGCUACGUACAAAAGUUACGCAGCAAGUACUGGUGGGGGACCACCAAAAACUUUGGAUCUGACUCCUUCAGAAGAGGAUUUGUUAGCAUUUUUGACGCCUGAGGCUAGUGGAAUAUCCAACAUUCCCGAAGGAGAAGCUAUUGAUUUGCUUUUACAAGAUUCUUCAUGUGCGACUUCCCCAAGAGAGAUUAAUUUUGAGAAACAUUACCCCGAGAAUGAAAUGACUCGUCCUUCAAGAAUGUCACCUAGCUCACUGGUUUCAGAUAGCAAAUAUUCUAAAUUAUUUUCGAACGUAAUAAAUGAUAGGGAGGAUUUUUCAAAUAAUAUAUCUUCCAGCGUAUCUACAUCUUCAAAAAAUUUACAAAAAAAAAAUGUACAAGAUGUAGAAAAUGUACAAGAUACACAAAAUGUAUAUUGCAACUACUCCAUAAAAAACAAAAGACUUUUUGAUCGAUGGUAAUAAUUAAGGACGUUCUCUCGUUUUUAUAGAGAAAAUCGAUUUUCUUAGGAUUUUCUUGAAACUGUGAAUAUACGUUAAUUUAGGUGUGCUUUAUGCGUGGUAUCCCAGCCAGAACGCCGACGUCUAUAGACGUCGAAUUGACAUCUUAUAGAUGUCGAUUCGACAUCUAUCGACAUCUAUAGACGUCGAAAAGACGCUAGCAUUCCGGCUGGGAUAAAUUUCAGUACCUCUUCCGGGAUAAAAAAUCAAGAUACUGAGCCUCAAAGUUUCAACUUUUACUAAUGAAAAGGUUUUCCAGGCCAAACGAUAAGAGAUACGAGAUUGGCCAAAAGGACCAAAGUUGCUUCUGUCGUCGAGUUCUAUAAGGAAAAAAUGCCAAAACUAAAAAAAAUUAAAUUUUAAAUUUUUUUUUUAACUUUGAG
Molecule: long non-coding RNA, 1353 nt
Organism: Temnothorax curvispinosus
Lineage: Eukaryota; Metazoa; Arthropoda; Insecta; Hymenoptera; Formicidae
Exons: 5
Source: RefSeq, a predicted model, not a curated record